GAUGAAGAACGCAGCGAAAUGCGAUAAGUAGUGUGAAUUGCAGAAUUCAGUGAAUCAUCGAAUCUUUGAACGCACAUUGCGCCCCUUGGUAUUCCAUGGGGCAUGCCUGUUCGAGCGUCAUUUGUACCUUCAAGCUCUGCUUGGUGUUGGGUGUUUGUCUCGCCUCUGCGUGUAGACUCGCCUUAAAACAAUUGGCAGCCGGCGUAUUGAUUUCGGAGCGCAGUACAUCUCGCGCUUUGCACUCAUAACGACGACGUCCAAAAGUACAUUUUUACACUCUUGACCUCGGAUCAGGUAGGGAUACCCGCUGAACCUAAGCAUAUCAAUAAGCGGAGGA
Molecule: unclassified non-coding RNA, 337 nt
Filed under: soil metagenome
Description: partial contains 5.8S ribosomal RNA, internal transcribed spacer 2, and large subunit ribosomal RNA
Rfam family: 5.8S ribosomal RNA (bases 1-120)
Source: RNAcentral